Molecule: transfer RNA, 87 nt
Filed under: Lentisphaerota bacterium
Lineage: Bacteria; Pseudomonadati; Lentisphaerota
Also listed under: 1 other name
Description: Lentisphaerae bacterium (anaerobic digester metagenome) tRNA-Leu
Rfam family: tRNA
About the family: Transfer RNA (tRNA) molecules are approximately 80 nucleotides in length. Their secondary structure includes four short double-helical elements and three loops (D, anti-codon, and T loops).
Source: RNAcentral
GCUCGGGUGGCGGAAUUGGCAGACGCACUAGCUUGAGGGGCUAGCGGUAGCAAUACUAUGCGGGUUCAAAUCCCGCCCCGAGCACCA